RNAcentral lists this non-coding RNA (45 nucleotides) under Schistosoma haematobium. The record is from RNAcentral. Lineage: Eukaryota; Metazoa; Platyhelminthes; Trematoda; Strigeidida; Schistosomatidae.
AUUCAGCUGAAGAGUCCAAAACAAGACGAAACGCGAGUCCUGGUU